This 450-nucleotide ribosomal RNA is filed under the name uncultured prokaryote. RNAcentral's name for it is "bacterial SSU rRNA". It matches the Rfam family "Bacterial small subunit ribosomal RNA", at positions 355 to 796 of the family's 1533-position model. The record is from RNAcentral.
UGGGGAAUAUUGGACAAUGGGGGCAACCCUGAUCCAGCAAUGCCGCGUGUGUGAAGAAGGCCUGCGGGUUGUAAAGCACUUUAAGUGGGGAGGAGGGGACUGAGUGUGAAUAGCGCUUGGUCUUGACGUUACCCACAGAAUAAGCACCGGCUAACUCCGUGCCAGCAGCCGCGGUAAUACGGAGGGUGCGAGCGUUAAUCGGAAUUACUGGGCGUAAAGCGCGUGUAGGCGGCGCGUUAAGUCAGAUGUGAAAGCCCCGGGCUCAACCUGGGAAUGGCAUUUGAUACUGGCGGGCUAGAAUGCGGUAGAGGGAGGUGGAAUUCCCGGUGUAGCGGUGAAAUGCGUAGAUAUCGGGAAGAACACCGAUGGCGAAGGCAGCCUCCUGGGCCGACAUUGACGCUGAGACGCGAAAGCGUGGGGAGCAAACAGGAUUAGAUACCCCCGUAGUCC